This 726-nucleotide long non-coding RNA is filed under the name Homo sapiens (human). Its description in RNAcentral is "non-protein coding lnc-C1orf61-2:20". The record is from RNAcentral. Lineage: Eukaryota; Metazoa; Chordata; Mammalia; Primates; Hominidae.
GGCAGAGGAGGGAGCUAGGAGGUGAGACCCGCUCCACCCUGCUCGCCUAGGCUCGGCGGAGGCUAAGAGCAGGGCAGCCUCCUCUGCCCGGCGCCCGCUGAGCCCCGGCAUCUGGAACUCAGGGCCCUGGCGCUCCAGGGGCGGGAACUGGCCGGGAGGACCGCGCGGGAGAGCACGGAUGGGCACCCUGGGCUCGAUCUUCUCACCUGGGGCGGGUGGGUUCUGCACCACCCUCCCACCCUCCUUCCUCCGUGUGGACGAUAGAGCCACAUCCAGCACCACGGACAGCUCCCGGGCGCACUGGAAGCUGAGGGUUUUGACAGCGGCAGGCCACAUAGGCAAGGAAGCUGGUGCAUGCAGUGUCUCUGGGCAAGGUUAUGCAAACCAAAAAGAAGAAUGUACUUCAUCUGGUUGGGCUGGAUUCCCUCUGAUAAGCCUUCCCAGUUGACUGAAAGAUGAGGCUAGGCUCUAGCAAGUUGAAGUCAAACCAGCUCCUUCAAGAAGCUUUGAGCAGAAUGAAGUGGGGAGGACCCAGCUUCCAGCCCAGGAAGCCCACUGUACCUGGAGCCAUCUGGGAUAAGACUUUGACCCAUGACUCCCAUAUCCACAGCCUGUCCAUCCUAGCCCAUCCCAGUUUAUCCUGUAUCAUUUGAGCUGGGAUUCCCACAUCCUCUGAGUUGGAAGUCCCAUCUCAAGUCUUCAAUAAAGACUCUUGAAUAUUGAAUC